GCUCCCAUCGUCUAGCGGUUAGGACGUCGCCCUCUCAAGGCGAAGAUCACGGGUUCGAAUCCCGUUGGGAGCGCCA
This 76-nucleotide transfer RNA is filed under the name Deltaproteobacteria bacterium CG11_big_fil_rev_8_21_14_0_20_47_16. RNAcentral describes it as "tRNA-Glu". It matches the Rfam family "tRNA". Rfam says of the family: Transfer RNA (tRNA) molecules are approximately 80 nucleotides in length. Their secondary structure includes four short double-helical elements and three loops (D, anti-codon, and T loops). Lineage: Bacteria; Deltaproteobacteria. The record is from RNAcentral.